This 1011-nucleotide ribosomal RNA is filed under the name uncultured bacterium. RNAcentral's name for it is "bacterial SSU rRNA". It matches the Rfam family "Bacterial small subunit ribosomal RNA", at positions 68 to 1056 of the family's 1533-position model. The record is from RNAcentral.
AUCGCUUGAGUAGCAAUACGAGAGCGUGAGAGUGGCGGAAGGGCGAGUAAUGCGCGAGCAACCUGCCCCUUUGCCGGGAAUAACCCUUGGAAACGAGGGCUAAAGCCGGAUGAGGCGCUGGGGGGCAUCCCCCGGUUGUCAAACGCGGGGACCGCAAGGCCCGUGGCAAAGGGAUGGGCUCGCGUGACAUCAGCUAGUUGGUGGGGUAACGGCUCACCAAGGCUUACGUCUAGCUGGUCUGAGAGGACGACCAGCCGCACUGGGACUGAGACACUGCCCAGACUCCUACGGGAGGCUGCAGUCGAGGAUCAUUCGCAAUGGGCGCAAGCCUGACGAUGCGACGCUGCGUGGAGGAUGAAGGCCCUCGGGUCGUAAACUCCUGUCAUGGGGGAAAAAGGUACCUGCGGUAACAUCAAAGGUAUCGGAUUGUACCCCAAGAGGAAGCCACGGCUAACUCUGUGCCAGCAGCCGCGGUAAUACAGAGGUGGCGAGCGUUGUUCGGAUUUACUGGGCGUAAAGGGCGCGUAGGCGGCGGCGUAUGCCGGGUGUGAAAUCCGUGGGCUCAACCCACGAAGUGCGCCCGGAACUGCGUCGCUCGAGGUCGGGAGGGGAGAGCGGAAUGCAGGGUGUAGCGGUGAAAUGCGUUGAUAUCCUGCAGAACACCGGUGGCGAAGGCGGCUCUCUGGAACGAUUCUGACGCUGAGGCGCGAAAGCUGGGGGAGCAAACAGGAUUAGAUACCCUGGUAGUCCCAGCCUUAAACGGUGCACACUUGGCGUGGCGGGAUUUCACCCCCGCCGUGCCGAAGCGAACGCGUUAAGUGUGCCGCCUGGGGAGUACGGCCGCAAGGCUAAAACUCAAAGAAAUUGACGGGGGCCCGCACAAGCGGAGGAGCAUGUGGCUUAAUUCGAUGCACCGCGAAGAACCUUACCCGGGUUUGACAUGCAGCUGCACGGCCUAUGAAAAGUAGGCUUCCUUCGAGGGUGCUGCACAGGUGCUGCAUGGCUGUCGUC